Molecule: RNA transcript, 2841 nt
Organism: Lycium barbarum (goji berry)
Lineage: Eukaryota; Viridiplantae; Streptophyta; Magnoliopsida; Solanales; Solanaceae
Gene name: putative pumilio homolog 8, chloroplastic
Exons: 5
Source: RefSeq, a predicted model, not a curated record
UCGAAAUUGCAUCUGUAAUUUCUUAGCAAUCACCGUCAAUUAAAAAAAAAAAAAAAACCUUCUUUUGUUUUUUCCGUAGUUAUUAAGAGAAAAAAAAAAUAGAAGAGGAGAAGAUACUAAGGGCGUGUUUGGUACGGGAGAAAAUAUUGAAAAUACUUUCAGAACAUAUUUCACCUUUUUCAAGUUUGAUCGGUCAAAAUGUUAUCGGAGACAUUUCCUCUAAGAAAAUAAGUUCUUAAAAAUGAGAAAAAUACAUUCUCUAAUGAAAAUAGAAAAAAUAAGUUCUAUAAGUGACAUUUGAAAUUAAUCUUCUCCUUCUCACCUACCCAACUCCUCUAAUCCCACCCAUUAACCAUCCACUCCUAAACACCCACUCCCCUCCUUCACUAUUUUGUUACAUUACGUAUAAACUCUCUCUAUCUACCAAGAUAGAAGUAACAUCUGUAUGCACUCUAUUCUUCCUAGAUUUCAUUUUUGAAAUUACACUGGUAUGUGUACAUAUCAACGUACUUUGAAUAAUAUUUUUUAUUUUUUUUAAAAAAAAUACUAGAAAAUAAGCAACCAACCCAUUUAUUUUUCAAAGUUUUUUUUUAUAAAAACAUUCCCAUAAAAACACAUUUUCUUUCGUACCAAACACACCCAAAAAAAAAAAAAAAAAAAAAAAAAACUGUUUUGUCAGAUUCAGAGCCACCCUUUUCUGUCUCUCUUUCCUUUUUCCACUGUGUGUGUGUGUGUGAGUGAGUACUGAGUACUUACAAAUACAAAUACUACGAAACUUUGCCUCUUCAUUUUAAUGGCGUGAGUUAGCACUACCAUAACCAACAACAACACCACUCUUCUUCCCACUCUUUACCAAACACCCCAUCUCUUCUGUAAAUACCCAAAACCCCAAAAUAACAAAGAAAAAAAAAAUAUCUUCCUUAAUUCCUAAUGCAAACUUUAAUUUUCUGAUCACCAACUUUAUGUAAUCUUUCUCUGAUAUUUAUAAGUCUAAUGUAUUGUUCUGGGUGUUGUAUGUUUUAUGUCUUAGAAUAGUUGUCUUGUUACACGUACGUGUAUUUUCUGUCUGUUUGUUUGCUAUAUAUAGUGAAGAGUUUUGUGUUGUUGUGAUGUAUAGAGGUAAAGAAAAGGGCAUUGAAGGAAAAAUGAAAGGUCAUGAAGAAAUUAUGUUAAGGAUGUUUAAGGAAGAUGUUUCAUAUUUGAAUCAUCAUAAUCAGUUCUCUCCUUCAGGUUCAAGUUCUUUUUCUGGCGGGUGUGGUUUUUAUGGUGAUGAUUUAGCUGAUUCUUGGAAUGUAUUUGAUCACAAUAUUCAUCAUCAAGGACUAGUUGAUACUACUACUAAUGGACAUUUUGGUUCUGGUUGGUUUAAUGACCAAGAUUUUGAUAAAGUUGUUGACAUAGGUGCUCUGUCUCGGAGAUUUUAUGGUAUGAAUAUUGAUGAUAAGGUUGGAUUUGGUGAUGGUUUUUUCAAUGGAACAGGAAAUUCGCAUCAUGGUAUUUCUGAUUUUCAAGUGUCAUCAGGUGUGUUAGGUCAUAGGAACACAUUGAGUGGACAGAGAGGUGAUUUUUGUGAUUCAAUGGGGCCUAUUUGUCAGGAAGAAAAAAUUAAUUAUGAAUACUUGUGUAACAUGAAUAGGCCAUGUAGUAACAAUGAGGGUCUUCAAUAUGAUGAUGUUGUUGUUGAUAGGAGAUUUUUUAGCUCGUUACAUGGUUCUAACUUGAUAAAUCCUAGUAGGAUGGGAUUAAGUUCUGAAUGUGAUUGUUCAAUUGCUAAGCAAAGGAUUAAAUCAGUAAAUAACCCUUUUUCUCCAUUGCCAAAUUCAAGAAUCCAAGAUAGUUAUAGUUAUGAAGACAGCUUUAUUCUUCAAGGGGAAUCUUUAAAAUAUGGUUCUGAACAGAGAGGUUUACUAAAGGGUCACAAGAAAAAAUCAAGAAAUGAGGCUAAAAUAGAAAGGUUGCAAGAAAAGAAACCAGCAAGGGAAGGAAAUGUAGAGAAAAAUGUGUAUUUGGCAGCAAAAGAUCAGAUGGGGUGUAGGUAUUUACAGAGGAUAUUUGAUGAAGGGACAUCUGAAGAUGUUCAGAUAAUAUUUAAUGGAAUUAUUCAUUAUAUACUUGAGUUAAUGAAGGAUCCAUUUGGUAACUAUCUUGUUCAGAAAUUAUUGACUGUUUGUAAUGAUGAACAAAGAAUGCAGCUUGUGCUUAUGGUGACUAAAGAUCCAGGAGAACUUGUGAAAACAUCUAGAACAACACAUGGGACUCGUGUUGUGCAAAAGUUAAUUGAGACAAUGAGGACCAGGCUGGAAAUUUCCUUAGUUAUAAGGGCUAUUCAACCUGGUAUUCUUAAUCUCAUGAUGGAUGUCAAUGGAAAUCAUGUGAUUCAACGUUGCUUGCAUUGUUUAAGCAAGGAUCAUAACAAGAACAUGUGGGCCUUUGUUGUUGUUGGACAAUAUUCAUUUCAACAGAAUAUCUACAUGGAUGGGAAGUAUCUUGAGGAGAUCACCCUAGUUGUGCACAUAAACCAGUUUGGAUUUUCAUAUCUGUUAUAUUUGAUGUUGCGAGUAAACAUUGUGUUGAUAUUGCAACACAUCGUUAUGGAUGCUGCGUGUUGAAUAAAUGCAUCACUUAUUCAACUGGGAAGCAACGUGAGAAGUUGCUUGUUGAGAUUUGUUCUAAUGGGCUUAAGCUUGCUCAAGAUCCUUUUGGGAACUAUGUUGUUCAAUUCAUAAUAGAGUUAAAAAUACCCUCUGUUGCUGCCAUGUUGCUCUCUCAGUUUGAAGGGCGUUAUGUAUACCUCUCAAGGCAAAAGUUUAGCAGCCAUGUUAUUGAAAAGUUGCUGAAGUG